This 252-nucleotide ribosomal RNA is filed under the name uncultured bacterium. RNAcentral describes it as "partial 16S ribosomal RNA". It matches the Rfam family "Bacterial small subunit ribosomal RNA", at positions 524 to 776 of the family's 1533-position model. The record is from RNAcentral.
UACGUAGGGUGCGAGCGUUGUCCGGAAUUACUGGGCGUAAAGAGCUCGUAGGUGGUUUGUCGCGUUGUUCGUGAAAACCGGGGGCUUAACCCUCGGCGUGCGGGCGAUACGGGCAGACUUGAGUACUGCAGGGGAGACUGGAAUCCUGGUGUAGCGGUGGAAUGCGCAGAUAUCAGGAGGAACACCGGUGGCGAAGGCGGGUCUCUGGGCAGUAACUGACGCUGAGGAGCGAAAGCGUGGGGAGCGAACAGG